RNAcentral lists this unclassified non-coding RNA (188 nucleotides) under Ochridaspongia rotunda. RNAcentral's name for it is "sequence contains ITS2, 28S rRNA gene". The record is from RNAcentral. Lineage: Eukaryota; Metazoa; Porifera; Demospongiae; Spongillida; Malawispongiidae.
UGCGCGUCGGGAACUCGACGGCGACAAGGAAGAGGAGGAGCUCGUUCGCGAGGGAUCCGGCGUUCCAGAGCCCACGAAAAUGUCGGUUUAUUACGAGAAGGAGCCUUUCCCCCACGGKAAAGCCCUUUCCAUCCUGGACCUCAGCUCANGCGUGACUACCCGCUGAAUUUAAGCUUAUCAAUAACCAA